GUGGGGAAUCUUCCGCAAUGGACGAAAGUCUGACGGAGCAACGCCGCGUGAGUGAUGAAGGUCUUCGGAUUGUAAAGCUCUGUUAAUCGGGACGAUAGAGCCUAGUGUGAAUAAUGCUAGGAAGUGACGGUACCGGAAUAGAAAGCCACGGCUAACUACGUGCCAGCAGCCGCGGUAAUACGUAGGUGGCAAGCGUUGUCCGGAAUUAUUGGGCGUAAAGCGCGCGCAGGCGGAUCUGCCAGUCUGUCUUAAAAGUUCGGGGCUUAACCCCGUGAUGGGAUGGAAACUACAGAUCUAGAGUAUCGGAGAGGAAAGUGGAAUUCCUAGUGUAGCGGUGAAAUGCGUAGAUAUUAGGAAGAACACCAGUGGCGAAGGCGACUUUCUGGACGAAAACUGACGCUGAGGCGCGAAAGCCAGGGGAGCGAACGGGAUUAGAAACCCCUGUAGUCC
Molecule: ribosomal RNA, 450 nt
Filed under: uncultured bacterium
Lineage: Bacteria
Description: partial 16S ribosomal RNA
Rfam family: Bacterial small subunit ribosomal RNA
Source: RNAcentral